Molecule: ribosomal RNA, 253 nt
Filed under: uncultured bacterium
Lineage: Bacteria
Description: partial 16S ribosomal RNA
Rfam family: Bacterial small subunit ribosomal RNA
Source: RNAcentral
UACAGAGGGGGCAAGCGUUGUUCGGAAUUACUGGGCGUAAAGGGCGCGUAGGCGGCCCGCUAAGUCGAACGUGAAAUCCCCGAGCUCAACUCGGGAACUGCGUCCGAUACUGGUGGGCUUGAAUCCGGGAGAGGGAUGCGGAAUUCCAGGUGUAGCAGUGAAAUGCGUAGAUAUCUGGAGGAACACCGGUGGCGAAGGCGGCAUCCUGGACCGGCAUUGACGCUGAGGCGCGAAAGCUAGGGGAGCAAACGGG